ACACCGGCAGCCCAAGUGGUGGCCAUUUUUAUUGGGCCUAAAGCGUUCGUAGCCGGCCUGAUAAGUCUCUGGUGAAAUCCCGCAGCUUAACUGUGGGAAUUGCUGGAGAUACUAUCAGGCUUGAGGUCGGGAGAGGUUAGAGGUACUCCCAGGGUAGGGGUGAAAUCCUAUAAUCCUGGGAGGACCACCUGUGGCGAAGGCGUCUAACUGGAACGAACCUGACGGUGAGUAACGAAAGCCAGGGGCGCGAACCGGAUUAGAUACCCGGGUAGUCCUGGCCGUAAACGAUGUGGACUUGGUGUUGGGAUGGCCUCGAGCUGCCCCAGUACCGAAGGGAAGCUGUUAAGUCCACCGCCUGGGAAGUACGGUCGCAAGACUGAAACUUAAAUGAAUUGACGGGG
Molecule: ribosomal RNA, 401 nt
Filed under: uncultured bacterium
Lineage: Bacteria
Description: partial 16S ribosomal RNA
Rfam family: Archaeal small subunit ribosomal RNA
Source: RNAcentral